CCUACGGGGGGCUGCAGUGGGGAAUAUUGGACAAUGGGGGGAACCCUGAUCCAGCCAUGCCGCGUGUGUGAAGAAGGCCCUCGGGUUGUAAAGCACUUUCAGUGAGGAAGAACGCCUGGUGGUUAAUACCCAUCAGGAAAGACAUCACUCACAGAAGAAGCACCGGCUAACUCCGUGCCAGCAGCCGCGGUAAUACGGAGGGUGCGAGCGUUAAUCGGAAUUACUGGGCGUAAAGCGCGCGUAGGUGGCUUGAUAAGCCGGUUGUGAAAGCCCCGGGCUCAACCUGGGAACGGCAUCCGGAACUGUCAAGCUAGAGUGCAGGAGAGGAAGGUAGAAUUCCCGGUGUAGCGGUGAAAUGCGUAGAGAUCGGGAGGAAUACCAGUGGCGAAGGCGGCCUUCUGGACUGACACUGGCACUGAGGUGCGAAAGCGUGGGUAGCAAACAGGAUUAGAUACCCUAGUAGUC
This 465-nucleotide ribosomal RNA is filed under the name Vreelandella stevensii. RNAcentral's name for it is "partial 16S ribosomal RNA". It matches the Rfam family "Bacterial small subunit ribosomal RNA", at positions 338 to 795 of the family's 1533-position model. Lineage: Bacteria; Pseudomonadati; Pseudomonadota; Gammaproteobacteria; Oceanospirillales; Halomonadaceae. The record is from RNAcentral.